CGUGUAGGCGGUUGGGCAAGUCAGAUGUGAAAGCCUUCCGCUCAACGGAAGAAGGGCAUUUGAAACUACCCGGCUGGAGUACGGGAGAGGAGAGUGGAAUUCCCGGUGGUAGAGGUGAAAUUCGUAGAUAUCGGGAGGAACACCAGUGGCGAAGGCGGCUCUCUGGUCCGAUACCUGACGCUGAGACGCGAAAGCGUGGGGAGCAAACAGGGAUUAGAUACCCUGGUAGUCCACGCCGUAAACGAUGGGCACUAGGUGUAGGAGGUAUUGACCCCUUCUGUGCCGAAGCUAACGCAUUAAGUGCCCCGCCUGGGGAGUACGGCCGCAAGGCUAAA
This 335-nucleotide ribosomal RNA is filed under the name uncultured bacterium. RNAcentral's name for it is "bacterial SSU rRNA". It matches the Rfam family "Bacterial small subunit ribosomal RNA", at positions 568 to 898 of the family's 1533-position model. The record is from RNAcentral.